AAAAAAUUGCAUGCAGUCGGGCUGCAGACGGAGCGCCCUGCAGUCCGUCGCGCGAUGCCCUCCGCGUGGGAUCGGACGGAGGCACCCUCGCUCGGCUCGAUAGUCGCUGGCUCAUUUACGUAUGCGCCGUCCGCGUGGUACUUUCUGUCCGCGGCUCGCUCGGCUCGCUCAUCAUCGCGUCCGCCGCGAUCCUCGCGAUCAGUUGCCCUCGGCUCGCGUAAUCUCGUGAUCACAUCAGUUGCCGUUCCUCCUGCUCGUCUCCACGGCCUCCUCCUCGGCCGCCUCCACCGGCACGUCCCACUCGCCGUCGUGGAAGGCGCGCACGUACGACUUGGAAGGUGGGCAUCUUCGCCUCGCUCCAAUUCUGGACGUGCAUCUCCUGCCGCUUCCUCUUCAAC
Molecule: long non-coding RNA, 398 nt
Filed under: Setaria viridis
Lineage: Eukaryota; Viridiplantae; Streptophyta; Magnoliopsida; Poales; Poaceae
Description: long non-coding RNA (SVIR_LNC005307)
Source: RNAcentral